Cyprinus carpio (common carp) is the source of this 217-nucleotide long non-coding RNA. RefSeq lists it as uncharacterized. Lineage: Eukaryota; Metazoa; Chordata; Actinopteri; Cypriniformes; Cyprinidae. The transcript is spliced from 3 exons. The record is from RefSeq and is a predicted model, not a curated record.
ACACUGGCAGGAUGGCUGAGAAGGUGGGUGCAGACAUCACGGUUCUCAGAGAGAGGGAGGUGGAUUACGACUCGGACGAGCCUCACAGAAUAGCUGAGGUGCUCAUCAGGAAAGUGCCAGACGAUCAGCAGUUCUUGGACCUGCGGGUAGCAGUGCUGGGAAACGUGGACUCGGGAAGUCCACUCUGCUUGGUGUGCUUACACAAGGAGAGCUGGAC